CUGUGAAUAUUCUCAAUGUUCUGAUUAUGUGAUAGUCAGGAUAGGCUAAAUAUUUGCUACAUUAAGAACAUGCUUAUGGCCGGGCGCGGUGGCUCAAG
Molecule: small nucleolar RNA, 98 nt
Filed under: Colobus angolensis palliatus
Lineage: Eukaryota; Metazoa; Chordata; Mammalia; Primates; Cercopithecidae
Description: Small nucleolar RNA SNORA72 (ENSCANG00000000330.1)
Rfam family: Small nucleolar RNA SNORA72
About the family: U72 is a member of the H/ACA class of snoRNAs. The snoRNA gene is located in intron 4 of the ribosomal L30 protein gene in human, mouse and chicken.
Source: Rfam by way of RNAcentral